GAAGCGGUGGCUUAAAGGAAGAGCAUUGCUUUUGCAAGGCAAAGAUGCGGGUUCAAGUCCCGCCCGCUUCUC
Molecule: transfer RNA, 72 nt
Filed under: Capsulimonas corticalis
Lineage: Bacteria; Bacillati; Armatimonadota; Armatimonadia; Capsulimonadales; Capsulimonadaceae
Description: tRNA-Ala
Rfam family: tRNA
About the family: Transfer RNA (tRNA) molecules are approximately 80 nucleotides in length. Their secondary structure includes four short double-helical elements and three loops (D, anti-codon, and T loops). Further hydrogen bonds mediate the characteristic L-shaped molecular structure. tRNAs have two regions of fundamental functional importance: the anti-codon, which is responsible for specific mRNA codon recognition, and the 3' end, to which the tRNAs corresponding amino acid is attached (by aminoacyl-tRNA synthetases). tRNAs cope with the degeneracy of the genetic code in two manners: having more than one tRNA (with a specific anti-codon) for a particular amino acid; and 'wobble' base-pairing, i.e. permitting non-standard base-pairing at the 3rd anti-codon position.
Source: RNAcentral